CCUACGGGAGGCAGCAGUGAGGAAUAUUGGUCAAUGGGCGCGAGCCUGAACCAGCCAAGUCGCGUGAGGGAAGACGGCCCUACGGGUUGUAAACCUCUUUUGCCGGGGAGCAACGGGCGCCACGUGUGGCGCCACUGAGAGUACCCGGAGAAAAAGCAUCGUCUAACUCCGUGCCAGCAGCCGCGGUAAUACGGAGGAUGCGAGCGUUAUCCGGUUUUAUUGGGUUGAAAGGGUGCGUAGGCGGAGCUUUAAGUCAGUGGUCAAAUUGAGGGGCUCAACCCCUUCCCGCCAUUGAAACUGGCGUUCUUGAGUGGAAGAGAGGUAUGCGGAAUGCGUGGUGUAGCGGUGAAAUGCAUAGAUAUCACGCAGAACCCCGAUUGCGAAGGCAGCAUGCCGGCUUCCUACUGACGCUGAAGCACGAAAGCGUGGGGAUCGAACAGGAUUAGAUACCCGAGUAGUC
Molecule: ribosomal RNA, 460 nt
Filed under: uncultured bacterium
Lineage: Bacteria
Description: partial 16S ribosomal RNA
Rfam family: Bacterial small subunit ribosomal RNA
Source: RNAcentral